RNAcentral lists this long non-coding RNA (318 nucleotides) under Mytilus galloprovincialis (Mediterranean mussel). The record is from RNAcentral. Lineage: Eukaryota; Metazoa; Mollusca; Bivalvia; Mytilida; Mytilidae.
AUCUUUAAAGUUUUUAAAUCUUAUAAUUACAUUAAUUUGUUGUUCAGCUAAAUACUUUUGAUAUCAGAAAUUAUUUAUUAGAAAAAUUAGUUAAACCGACGAUACUUCACAUUCAAUUCAUCAUACUUUGCAUUGGGAAAUGCCAAUUAUGUCUGGUAUGGAACCAGUCGAAGAUUGCCAAAGGGAAGUAAUUUGCUUAAAAAGUUUGUAAUAACAGAAUCAAAUCGGUAAUUGGCAAAUGGACUAUUACCUAAUUAAAUGGAUGUUUUGUUUGAUAUAUCUUAUCCGAAGAUAGUACAAUGGAUUGCAUUUAUUUCU